RNAcentral lists this long non-coding RNA (1063 nucleotides) under Zonotrichia albicollis (white-throated sparrow). Its description in RNAcentral is "lncRNA (ENSZALG00000001980.1)". Lineage: Eukaryota; Metazoa; Chordata; Aves; Passeriformes; Passerellidae. The record is from RNAcentral.
GAGACAGAACGUUCCGGAACCUUCCAGAACCUUCCAGGAGCGCUGGGUGCGCUACCUCACACACAGCGACUCCUAUGUGCUGCGAUUGUGAGACAGAACCUUCUGGAACCUUCUGGAACCUUCUGGAACCUUCCAGAACAAACCCUGACCCACAGCGACAGCUAUGUGUUCCGGCUCUGAGACAGAAACUUCCGGAACAAAUUCCGGGGAAAUUUCAGUGAAAUUCCUGUGAAAAUCCCGAAAAAAUGGCCCAGAAACGAGGGAGGUGUCGGUGUUGUUAUUGGGGGAAAAUGGGGAAAAAUGGUGGGAAAACGGACAAAAAAGGCACCGAAAAUUCAGGAUUCUCUUCCAAAAUCAGUGUGGGAAGAUCCCGAAAUUCCAGAGAAAUUCCCAAGAAAUUCCCCCCAAAAAAUGGCCCAGAAACGAGGGAGGUGUUGUGUUUUUACUGGGAGAGAAUGGGAAAAAUGGGGAAAAAGGGGGUGGAAAAUUCAGAAUUCUGAGGUCCCAAAGCACAGAAAGAGAAGGGAGGGUGGGAACUCCAGAACUCUGGGAUGAGAACACAAAAUUCCAGUGAAAUUCCCAAAAAAAAGGGCCCAGAAAUGGUGGAGGUGUCGGUGCUGUUAUUGGGGGAAAAAAUGCGAAGAAAAAGGUUAAAAAAAAGGGGUGGAAAAUUCAAGAUUCUGCUCCCAAAAUCAGUGUGGGAAGAUCCCAGAAUUCCCAAGAAAUUCCAGUGAAAUUCCCAAAAAACCAGCCCCGAAAUGGCGGAGGUGUCAGUGUUGUUAUUGGGGGAAAAAAAGGUUAAAAAAAAGAGGUGGAAAAGUCAAGAUUCUGUUCCGAAAAUAAAAUGUGGGAAGAUCCCAGAAUUCCCAAGAAAUUCCAGAGAAUUUCCUGCAAAAUUCCCCCCAGAAAACGGCCCAGAAACAAGGGAGGUGUCGGUGCUGUUAUUGGGGGAAAAACGGGAAGAAAAAGGUAAAAAAAAGGGGUGGAAAAUUCAGGAUUCUGCUCCUAAAACAGUGUGGGAAGAGAAAAAACAGAAACCCAAAAUAUUUGGGGAAAAGAUCCC